RNAcentral lists this ribosomal RNA (459 nucleotides) under uncultured bacterium. RNAcentral's name for it is "partial 16S ribosomal RNA". It matches the Rfam family "Bacterial small subunit ribosomal RNA", at positions 338 to 795 of the family's 1533-position model. The record is from RNAcentral.
CCUACGGGUGGCAGCAGUGAGGAAUAUUGGUCAAUGGACGGAAGUCUGAACCAGCCAUGCCGCGUGCAGGAUGACGGCUCUAUGAGUUGUAAACUGCUUUUGUAUUAGGGUAAACACCCCUACGUGUAGGGUCUUGACAGUAUAAUACGAAUAAGGAUCGGCUAACUCCGUGCCAGCAGCCGCGGUAAGACGGAAGGCCCGAGCGUUAUCCGAAUUCAUUCGGCUUAACGGGAGCGUAGGCGGGCGGUCAAGUCAGCUGGAAAAUCGGGCGGUUAAACCGCGCCCCGCAGUUGAAACUGGACGUCUUGAGUUCACAACAGGCAGGCGGAAUUCGUGGUGUAGCGGUGAAAUGCAUAGAGAUCAAGAGGAACCCCGAUUGCGAAGGCAGCCUGCCGGGGUGCGACUGACGCUGAGGCUCGAAGGUGCGGGUAGCAAACAGGAUUAGAUACCCGAGUAGUC